UUAAUCCAAAACUCAACUUCUCAUCUCCGCUUGCGAUCUUUUGCAGCAACUAAUUAUUUUUUAGGAAAGAAGGUGACUGUGUCUUGUUUACCACCUUUGUUUUCUUGAUUAUUUUUUUUUACCGAAAUAAAAAAAUGGCUUUGAUGGAAACAUUUUAUCUCUCACAUGGAGCUCCAACACUUGCUACUGAUGAAACCGUACCAGCAAGACAAUUCUUUAAAUCAUGGCAACAAAGUGUGUACAAAGAGAAACCUACCGUUAAUGUUGUUGAUCGAAAUGAUACCAUUCAUGACUUCCAUGGCUUCCCCAAGCCCUUGUACCAGAUUAGCUUUCCCAGAGUUUCAACAUUGGGGCGCGUCCACACGUUUCCCCACUCAGCAAUUAGCUUCAGAUUCUUUUGUUAAAAUUCUUUUGAAUCCAGGGCCAAAGAAGUUAGCGGUGAAAAUGGCUAGACAGAAGGAUCGAUUUUGGGAUCAUGUUGAGAAGCUGGAUGAUGGUCGUUUCAACUGUACAUUUUGUGGCUUUAAAUUUGCUGCUGCUACUUCCAUUUCAAGGAUCAAAUGGCAUUUGUCAGGAGAUGAAGGGCAUGGUGUUGCAGUUUGUGGGCAAGUUCCUCAACAAGUUCAAGAAGCAGCAUUUCUAGAUAUGCGACAUUGCAACAAAAGACAUAAAGGCAUAGCAAGUUCAAGCAAUUUUAAUGAUAAUGCCAUUUCAACCACUCCACAAGAACAAAACAAUGAAGUCGACAAUGUGGCAGGAGAUGCAGGAACGACACAAGAAGCGGAUAGAAUGGGUCACCCACUUGGAAGAAGUGUGGAAGAGUUCAGUAGAUGGUUAAUGGAGGAUGAUACAGAGAAUGGGACUGGAGGAGUAGUGCAGCCUGGUGCAGGAGCUAGCUCUUCUGGAGGGCUUACAAGCAACACAAAUGAGACUCCAGGAGAUCCAUUACCUACUAGCUCUACAAAGCUAGUGGGUCAAGCAUUUGAACAGAAUACAAAUCUGAUAUGGUCUUGGUUAAUGGAUGAUGAAGUCUCGACAAUUGGCAUUUACGGAAUGGGGGGAGUCGGUAAAACGACAAUGAUGAAACAUAUCCAUAAUAAGCUUCUAGAAAGAUUAGGCCUUUCUCAUUGUGUUUACUGGGUGACCGUGUCUCGAGAUUUUAGCAUUGAAAGAUUGCAAAAUCUUAUUGCUAAAUGUCUUGGAUUUGAUCUUUCAAGUGAAGAUGAUGAUCUGUGUAGAGCUGUCAAAUUGUCGAAAGAACUAAGGAAGAAACAAAAAUGGAUUCUAAUUUUAGAUGAUUUGUGGAACACUUUUGAGCUACACGAAGUGGGAAUUCCUGACCCGGUGAAAGGAUGUAAGCUGAUUAUGACAACUCGAUCUGAAAGGGUUUGUCAACGAAUGGAUAGCCAAAACAAAAUCAAAGUGAAGCCACUUUCGGAGAGUGAAGCUUGGGAUUUGUUCAAGGAAAAACUUGGACAUGGCAUAACAUUUUGCCAAGAAGUGGAACGAAUUGCAGUAGAUAUUGCAAGGGAAUGUGCUGGUUUGCCAUUGGGCAUUAUUACAAUCGCAGGAAGCUUGAGGAGGGUGGAUGACCUACAUGAGUGGAGGAAUACAUUGAAGAAAUUGAAAGAAUCAAAAUGUAGGGACAUGGAAGAUAAGGUAUUCCGGUUGUUGAGGUUUAGUUAUGACCAGUUACAUGAUUUAGCACUACAACAGUGUCUCUUAAACUGUGCAUUAUUUCCUGAAGAUCAUGAGAUUGUAAGGAAGGAGUUGAUAGAUUAUUUGAUCGAUGAGGGGGUAAUUGAAAGAGUGGAGAGCAGGCAAGAAGCAGUUGACGAGGGCCACACUAUGCUUAAUAGACUUGAAAGUGUCUGCAUAUUGGAAGGUGCUAAAAACAUGUAUGGUGAUAGAUGUGUCAAGAUGCAUGACUUGAUUAGGGAUAUGACCAUCCAAAUACUGCAAGAGAACUCUCAAGGCAUGGUUAAAGCAGGUGCACGGUUAAGAGAAGUGCCGGGUGCAGAGGAGUGGACAGAGAAUCUUACUAGAGUUUCACUGAUGCAUAACCAGAUUGAAGAAAUUCCUUCCACGCAUUCACCGAGGUGUCCCAGCCUUUCAACUCUAUUGUUAUGCGACAAUUCACAGUUGCAAUUUAUUGCAGUUUCAUUUUUUGAGCAGUUGCAUGGGCUCAAGGUUCUUGAUCUGUCUCGUACAGGUAUUACAAAACUACCUGAUUCUGUCUCUGAAUUGGUGAGUCUCACUGCAUUACUGCUCAUUGAUUGUAAGAUGUUAAGGCAUGUACCGUCAUUAGAAAAGCUCAGGGCACUGAAGAGGUUAGAUCUCUCUGGUACUCGGGCACUUGAAAAGAUUCCUCAAGGCAUGGAAUGUCUAUGCAACCUGAGGUAUCUUAGAAUGAAUGGAUGUGGUGAAAAGGAGUUUCCUAGUGGGUUGUUACCUAAGCUCUCUCACCUGCAAGUCUUUGUAUUGGAGGAGUGGAUUCCUCCUGCUACCAAAGAUAAUAGAAGAGGACAACCUGCUCCGGUAACAGUUAAAGGAAAGGAAGUAGGAUGCUUGAGGAAGUUGGAAAGUUUGGUAUGCCAUUUUGAAGGUUAUUCAGACUACGUGGAGUAUCUCGAAUCUCGGGAUGAAACCAAAUCACUAACCACAUACCAAAUUCUUGUAGGACCACUGGAUAAGUAUCAUUAUGGUUAUGAUUAUGAUUAUGAUGGUUGCAGAAGGAAAACAAUUGUUUGGGUUAACUUGAGUAUCGACAGAGAUGGAGGUUUUCAGGUCAUGUUUCCAAAGGACAUUCAACAACUGACUAUUGAUAAUAAUGAUGAUGCAACAAGUUUAUGCGAUGUUUCCUCUCAAAUAAAGUAUGCAACUGAUCUGGAGGUUAUCAAGAUUUUUAGUUGCUAUAGCAUGGAGAGCUUGGUUUCAUCUUCUUGGUUCCGCUCUGCUCCACUACCAUCUCCAUCUUACAAUGGUAUAUUUUCUGGUCUUAAACGGUUUAAUUGUUCUGGUUGUAAGAGCAUGAAGAAGUUGUUCCCUCUUGUCUUGCUGCCAAGCCUCGUAAACCUCGAAAAUAUUAGAGUUUCUGACUGUGAGAAGAUGGAGGAGAUAAUAGGUGGAACAAGACCAGAUGAAGAGGGGGUUAUGGGUGAAGAAACCAGCAGCAGCAAUAUCGAAUUCAAACUCCCAAAGUUAACGAUGUUGGCAUUGGAGGGAUUACCAGAACUGAAAAGGAUUUGUAGUGCAAAACUGAUUUGCGAUUCUAUCGGAGCAAUUGACGUAAGAAAUUGCGAGAAAAUGGAGGAGAUAAUAGGUGGAACAAGAUCAGAUGGAGAAGGGGUUAUGGGUGAAGAAAGCAGCACCGAUCUCAAACUCCCCAAGUUAAUAUUUCUGCAAUUGAUUAGAUUACCAGAACUGAAAAGCAUUUGCAGUGCAAAACUGAUUUGCGAUUCUCUCCAAUUAAUUCAAGUAAGGAAUUGUGAGAAGCUGAAGAGGAUGGGAAUUUGUCUUUCGUUGCUUGAAAAUGGCGAGCAUCCUAACGCUAAGGAUGUCCUUCGUCCCUUUUUAAAGUUUGUUAAAGGACAGUGCCCUUGAAAUAAUAUUAAAUUAAAAGUAAGGAAGCCAGACGAAGACGAGUGAAGCGUUUAGAGAGCAACAACACCUUUUAGCCAAUUCAACUACAAUGAAGAGCAAGUGGAAAAGCCAAACAGAUCUGCAAGUUACAGUGUGCUAGAUGAAAGCGAUGCUAGAGCCCUCGUUUACAAGGAAGGAGAUAGUUUUAUCCAUGCUAGCUGCUGACACGAGUACUGAAGUAUGUUAUUUCUGGCCGAGUGAUUUUCUUUGGAGUUUCUAUCUUCAUUAAUUUUCAUUAAUUCAUUAGACUCAAGGAAUUAAAGCAGUGUAAUGUGAACACGUUGAAUAGUUAGCGUGAAUAAAUAAAGCAGAAAGUGACAAAGUGUGCAGGGUGGUUCCAUGAGAGUAAUCAUUGCAUACAGUAAAAUGGUAAAAUGGACCUUACCCGUAUUCUCUUCACUGGUUUUGUACCUCCCCAAUGGGGUACCUUGCACUUAGAGGAGCAGUAACGAGGACAAUGUGAAUAGUUCAUCAUGAAAUGAUGGCAGAUUGAUCUGUCCUGGCUAGGAUUUAGAGGCUUUAAGUAUGGAUUUUAAAUCAUUCAGACUGUUUAGUAUGAAGUGACAUGAACACAUUCAUUCCUGUUACACAAGCAUAUAAGGAAAUGAUUUUUCAGGACCCAUGCCACCUGAUAUUCGAAAACUGAUCAAUUUACAGAAACUGUAAUGCUUUUUCUUCAUUUUCAUGUUUAUUGUUUAUAGAUCUUGUAUCAUAUAAUGUUACUCAUACUAUGCCUGCAGAACUUGGCAAGUUGGUCAACUUGACAGAUAUGUAAGCAGACACUUUUUCUUUUUUAUGUGUCUCGUUCAAUCGAAUUCACAAGUCUAUGAACCCAUAAAGCAUUGAUUACUCAUAUCAUUUUUCAUGUCUUUAUCCUUGGAUUUACCUCGGCUGGGUGGUUUUCCCCAACAGAUAUAUAAUCAUCCUCUAUAAGCACAGGAAACGUAGCUGGUUUUGAUGAAAAAAAAUCUCAUAUUUAACUUUCUGAGAUUGUUUAGAUCUUUGAAUCUUCUAUGCUGAUAAUUCAACCAUGCACAUGGAUCAAAUUCAGUGGAAAUAAUGUUAAUGGAAUUCUUUCAAAUAUUGUUUUUCAUAAGUGUAAUGUUGUUCAUCUUUUUAUCUAAAUUUUAUGGUAAACAAUAUCACUUACAAAAACUCUGAGUUUGUAUUUCUUUGACACCUUUUAGGAGGAUGAAUGAUAAUAAUUUCUCAGGGAAGUUACCUGCUUUCAUCAGUAAAUGAACACAGGUUCAGAAACUUCAUAUACAAGCUUCCUCUCUUGAGGGGACUAUAUCUUCUAGCACUGCUUCCUUGACCAGACUAAGUGAUUUGAGGAGAUUGGUGACUUAACAGAAAGAGGGUCUUCUUUCCCGCCACUGUGUAAUAUGGAAUCCAUAUAACGUUAGCUUAGGGAUCUAGAUCUUCAAACAGGACUUUUCACACUAAAACAGAUGAAAGCUGCUACCAAGAACUUCGAUGCAGCAAACAAUGUCGAGGAGGGUGUUUUUGCUUCUGUUUUCAAGGGUUCAUUAUCAGAUGGAACUGUGAUUGCAGUGUGCUGCUUUCCUCAAAAUCUAAGCAAGGAAACCGUGAAUUUGUGAAUGAGAUAGGAAUGAUAUCUGCACUGCAACAUCCAAAUCCUUGAAGUUGUAUGGAUGUUGUGUUGGAGGAAACCAAUUAUUGCUUGUGUACGAGUACCUGGAAAACAAUUGCCGGUCCCGUGCUCUAUUUGCAUCCUUAUUUGGAAUUAUCUGGGAUUCUGCCAGGCCUGUGUUUUGCAAGAGAGAGGAAGUCUUUCCGAGGUGGUUGGUCCAGAAUUGGGGUCAGAGUAUUCUUCAGGGGAGGCUAUGGUGAUACUAAAUGUCGCUCUCUUAUGCACCAAUGCAGCCCCAACUCUUAGGCCUACAAGGUCUCAAGUUGCGAGCAUGCUCGAAGGCCAAACUCCUGUUCUAGACCUUCUUUCUGAUCCUGGGUUUUCCGCGAUCAACACAAAAUACAAGGCUAUAAAGAAACCAUUUCUGGCAGAAUCCAAGCCAAACUUAUAGCAUGUCUAUAAACGGAUCAUACUGUUCUGAUUCCACAAACUCUUACGGAGAACCAGGCCAUCUGCUGAGAGUUAGUUCAGUUAAAUCUAAUGAGUAGAUGUUGUAUCAUUUAUAUUAUCUUGAAAUAAUUUGCAGAUUCCAAAUUCAUAUGUUAAAAAUUCAAUUUUAUUUUUUAAGAAUCAGUUUUGUUUAUUCAA
Populus nigra (black poplar) is the source of this 5884-nucleotide RNA transcript. It is a transcript of the gene named probable disease resistance protein At4g27220, with no coding region annotated. Lineage: Eukaryota; Viridiplantae; Streptophyta; Magnoliopsida; Malpighiales; Salicaceae. The record is from RefSeq and is a predicted model, not a curated record. The transcript is spliced from 10 exons.